RNAcentral lists this ribosomal RNA (501 nucleotides) under uncultured bacterium. Its description in RNAcentral is "partial 16S ribosomal RNA". It matches the Rfam family "Bacterial small subunit ribosomal RNA", at positions 899 to 1397 of the family's 1533-position model. The record is from RNAcentral.
ACUCAAAUGAAUUGACGGGGGCCCGCACAAGCGGUGGAGCAUGUGGUUUAAUUCGACGCAACGCGAAGAACCUUACCAAGGCUUGACAUCCUACGAAUCCUGAGGAAACUUAGGAGUGCCCUUCGGGGAGCGUAGAGACAGGUGGUGCAUGGUUGUCGUCAGCUCGUGUCGUGAGAUGUUGGGUUAAGUCCCGCAACGAGCGCAACCCCUAUGUUUAGUUGCUAACGAGUAAGGUCGAGCACUCUAGACAGACUGCCGGUGAUAAACCGGAGGAAGGUGGGGAUGACGUCAAAUCAUCAUGCCCCUUAUGUCUUGGGCUACACACGUGCUACAAUGGCCGGUACAGACGGACGCAAAGCCGCGAGGUGGAGCAAAUCCGAGAAAGCCGGUCUCAGUUCGGAUUGUUCUCUGCAACUCGAGAACAUGAAGUCGGAAUCGCUAGUAAUCGCAGGUCAGCAUACUGCGGUGAAUACGUUCCCGGGCCUUGUACACACCGCCCGU